CUAGUGAUCUUCACUGGGUGGCAGAUGGCGUGCCAUAACUCUAUUAGUGGGAUACCACGCUCGUGGAUCUUAUGCCCACACAGCCAUCCUCUAGUAAGUUUGCAAGGUGUCUGAUGAGGCGUGGGAACUUAUUGGAAAUAAUUACUUGCUGCGAAGCAUCCUACUGCCAGCGGAUCAACACCUGGUAACAGGUGCCCCUGGGGCCAAAAGCCACGGUUUAACAGACCCUUUAGGAUUGGUUAAAACCUGAGUAAUUAUGGAAGAUACUUAGUACCUACCAACUUGGUAACAGUGCAAACACUAGUUGUAAGGCCCACGAAGGAUGCCCAGAAGGUACCCGCAGGUAACAAGAGACACUGUGGAUCUGAUCUGGGGCCACCUACCUCUAUCCUGGUGAGGUGGUUAAAAAACGUCUAGUGGGCCAAACCCAGGGGGGAUCCCUGGUUUCCUUAUUUUAGUGUAAAUGU
This 467-nucleotide non-coding RNA is filed under the name Human parechovirus 2. RNAcentral's name for it is "Aphthovirus internal ribosome entry site (IRES)". It matches the Rfam family "Aphthovirus internal ribosome entry site (IRES)". From Rfam's summary of the family: IRES elements allow cap and end-independent translation of mRNA in the host cell. The IRES achieves this by mediating the internal initiation of translation by recruiting a ribosomal 43S pre-initiation complex directly to the initiation codon and eliminates the requirement for eIF4F. The record is from Rfam by way of RNAcentral. Lineage: Riboviria; Orthornavirae; Pisuviricota; Pisoniviricetes; Picornavirales; Picornaviridae.